Molecule: long non-coding RNA, 4571 nt
Filed under: Varroa destructor (honeybee mite)
Lineage: Eukaryota; Metazoa; Arthropoda; Arachnida; Mesostigmata; Varroidae
Description: uncharacterized LOC111252114, transcript variant X1
Source: RNAcentral
AGCUUAUUUCUACGAGGCUGGUUUACUUGUGAUUUAGUCCGAUUCGUAAUGGCUGGUAACAAUAAUCGAAGCUGGCUUAUUGGCCAUUAGUACCUGACAGGAAAAGAUAGCUGUUAACUAGCAUCACUGUGAGACAGAGGGAAAGAGAGUUAUGCUAGGUACGCACGGCCAAGCUUAGCAAAGCAGUAUCUGUCGAGCAUGGGCCGACGAGUGUGAAGCUCGGAUCCGACGGGCGGACUUCAUUGCGCUGACAUCACUACUCGAUGAUUCUUCAUUUCUUUCGUUACCCCGAAAAAAUGGUCGCUAAUAUGAUCAUCAUUUCGUAUCCUGCAAUGAGGACGCAUAGUGAAUUACCGGAAUGUGCCCAGGACCUCUGGGUUCAUCGCACUCGUGUAAAAAUGCAGAGAGCGCUCACUUCUGCGGCUGAAAAAAUCGCCACAUCUGAAAAAUACCUAGCCUAUGAGUUUUUUGAUUUAUCAAGCUCGUGCGAUUACUUCAUUUUGGCUCAUCAAGGUACCGAUUAACAGAUAACUGCGGAGCCUAGUACGCGAUGCAUAAGGGGUGAUAAUCACUCCUCGAAGAAUUGCUCACAACCGUAAAAAAUCGACCGGAAUUGUCUUCAUUUAUGUUUCGGAACGAAACAUAUGCAGAUUCAACAAGCUCGAUCAACUCUUCGGCCAUCAUGUCGAUCGCACCAUAUAAUGUUAUAAUCAUCUUUACACAACCUACAUGUCAUCGAAUUGGAAGUAUUUACAAUUUACGAAUUACAACUGAUAGAAACGAGGUCUACUUAAUUUCUAAUUUUUUGAAAUUCUGCUAGCAGCAUAAUGCAAAAACACAGAGAUAGAGAGAAAGAAAUAAAAACACAGUUUUAUUAAAUCAUCCGAAGACACCACUUUUAUUGUCCUGGUUGAGUUUUUCACCUUACUAUCAUCGUCAUCAUCAGCUUUUUCGUUUUCGUUUCGUCGUCGUCGUCAAUAUGCAAUCGUAUUUCAUAUUUGUUUUCAGCAGCUUGCUGGUCGCAGCACCAUAUGUCUGUCUAGCUGUGUAUGUGGGUCUGUGUGAAGUGUUUACAUAUCUGCGCUCUAAAUGUCUAGAUCUAUAUUGCAUGUCUGUAUUCGCUACAGUGUUAUGUUGUAAAGAACAUAUUUCGCUUUCAUAUCCCUUCUUUCUUCUUGUUUUACUUUCCUUUCAUCCUGCCAUUGUGUGUAGUUAAUAUUUUUUCAUAGGCUCAUUACUGUGCUUUCACGGAGGUGGCCAACGAAAAUGAUUCGUACUUGAAGAUACUACCGCAAUUUUUAGUUAUUGUAAUUAUUCAUAUGGAGAGAUGUAUGUGCAUUACAGUCACAGCAUAGUCUUACUUGUAAAGUAGCCAUAAUUCGAGGGCAUUACGUGAACUGCAAUGAGAGAGAGAGAGAGAAAAAUUGGGGCAGCCAGAGUAACAUAAAAAUCAUCAUCAUCAUCAUUGUUGUUGUUGUCGUCCGGACUUACCAUUCGUGUCCACCCCCUGCGAAUGCAAAAGUGAAGCCUGCUUGUAUUGCCAUGAACAUACCAAAAACGCGCACGCGACCAGGUGAUUUUUACUAUACACGUUCGUUAUCGCAUAGAGACGUCCUAUAAUGCAGUAGUACAUAAUUCUAAUGAUAGAUGUAGCUAGAGGCGGGCGUAUAGUACAGCCUAGGGCCGAUCAUACUACAUUAUACUCAUACUUAGCUCCAUUCUAUCAAUUUCAGUGUCGUUGACAUCAGCGCUUUCUAAUUCGUCAUUUACUCCUUCUUUUCGCAAAGUACUUUUUAGUUAUCAAUUCGUAAUACAAUAGUAAUAAUAAAAAUGAGAGAUGUAACUGUGCUUCGUGCUGCCUGUAAGCAGUUACUAUCAUCCAUAAAAUGAUACCAGUAGUAAUAAUAGUAACAACGGUUAUGAUCCUUCACUGUUAUUUGUCCCCAUGUGUACAUUGUAUGUACUAUCCGCUAUUUUCAAUGUUUUUAUGCUAUGUCAUGUUUACGUAAUGCCUUGAAUGUCUGUUAAUGAAUAAUGUAUUAUUAUUAUUAUUAUUAUUAUCUUCUCUUGUCAAACAUUCUUACUAACCAACAUCGCUCAUUAUCAUUCAGUUUUCUCAGUCUACCAUCAGUACGUAUCCCUACACUUUACUCGAGGAAUUUAAUUAUCAUUUAGUUUACCGCAAAGUAGCGGCGGUGAUAACAGCAAUACAAAUUUGCCUCCUGACUUUUUUAUCUCAUUAAUUUCUGUUGCCGCCGCCGUUGAUGAUGAUGCUGUUGGUAAUUAAUAACCCUUCUUUUGCAUGUGCCCUCAUGUAUGGUACAAUGGUAACGUGUUUUUCUACUUAACUUAAAGACACUUGAUGUGGUUUACGUUCAAAAUCUUCUUCGGAAAGAUGUGCCCGUACACGCCAAACGACCCCCUCCCCAAAACAGAUCUCCCGAACUGUCUCAAAAGAGCUAGAACCCUCAAUUUUCGGGCUUUUCCCAAAGAUCAAAAUUUAAAUACGAAUUCGUACAUGAAUACAGUAUGUCGUACUGCGACGCAGCCGUCAAAAGCAUUCAUGCGUAACGGUAGUGAUGCUUUAAAACGGCGCGUAAAAUUCGAAAAAUUCAUUUUGCUUGUAAACAGGACGUAGGCACAUUCCCGCCGGAAGGGCCAGUUGUAUGAAACAACAAUGCGUAACUAAGCAAUAGGACCGGACCACUCGAAACAAUACGUGUUGUUUAUGGGAAUGAUCUAUGGGUGUAAGUCGACCCAUUGGUUUCCUUUCGCAGAUAAAUGGUCUCUUUCUGGUCUACGCCAUCUUUUUUCCAUCAUCUCUGUUCAAUGUUUCACCGUUCUCGGAAAACCACAGCAGUGUAUUAAUAAUAGUAUUAAAAUAAUAUAUGAAACGGUACAUAUUUUCUUUAUUUACAGAUGAUGUUGUGUGAUCUACCGGCCUAAAAUGUAGGAUAAUGGUAAUCGUAAAAUAACACUCAUUAAAACGUACAGGUAAUAGUAUCUUAUGCACAGGCAGAUCGGCCAAAGCUUUACUCACUUCUUUUGUGAUGUCCUAUGUGGUACCGUCAUUGAAUUAUCCGUACGGUCGUGGUCAACAAAAAUAAACAAAUGUUGUCGUUCCAUUUUGCUUAUUGAGAAGGCAACCGCACGGGCAAAGGCUCGCCGUUGGUGCCUUAGGCUCAAGCGGCAGCGACAAAUUAGGCUCAUCAAGUUGUCCUCGCUGCAUUUAUCCGAUAUUUGGCUAAUUCAGGUAUACGAUAUAUGUAUAAUAGAUGUAUUCAUUUAAGCUGAGCGGUUGGCUCAAUGCAUCAAUCCACUGCUCAGUAACCCACCCGAAACAAGAAGGCAAAACCUGCUUACUGCUAAGUAUAAUACUACGCCUCAUACAAAUAUAGCAUAAAAGUAAGAUUUUUCCAUAGUAUACUACUAUAAGAACUAUCAAUUGUUUUUUUUUGUUUGUUUUCAUUAAUAAUAAUGUAAUGAUGAAUGAGUUAACUGAUGUUAUUUUUGGGCACUUGACCCGUCAGCACCAGGUCGUCCAGUCUGUCCUCGUCUCAUCUACAGUCUAGCGACAUGUGUGCCUGUACUACACAUAUUCGAACUCGAAGAUCUACCUCCAAUCUACCCGUUUUUGUUCAACCCAUUUCGCUUCGGCCACAAUCAAUUCUUCAAAAAGUACUUAAACAAUUUGUUUGCGCAUAACAACGACUAGACAUCGAAGACACCAUCUGUGACGAGAUAUGUACGUGUUUAAUGUGUUUGUCGGAUUUAGCCGCCGUUUAGUUAUAAUAAUAAUAAUAAUAAUUAUGAGCUUAUAAUCAGUCCUUACGCUUUUCUUGUCAUCAUUAUUUUCGUGCAGAAGUUGCACCGGUUUGAUUUUAUUCACAGAAUCGAGUUAACUACAGGUGGCAAUCAUUUGUCGAGGUGUAUAUUAGCACACCGUCCACUAUUUCGAAAUAUGUCGUAUAUGUACACCGAUAGGGGUUGGCGAUUUAAUUGUCUGUAAUUUCGUCAUCCGCCACAGGUGACUAGACGUCAAGAUUGAAUUUGCUUUUUGAUGUUGUAUUUCACACCUAGAACACGCAGCAAAAAGUCUACAAUCGGUGAUUACAAGAAUUAUUGCCGCUUGGGAGACUUAGUCGACCUGUACGGGACGGAGAGCCUUUUUAAAUAGGAUUAUCGAUUAAUUACUUAAUAGUUUGUAUGCGGUCUUGAGAACCUCAAUGAAUGACGUCACAAAAAAGGUUGUUAUAUGUCCUUGUCGAAUGUUACCGUUCUGUUAUUAGUUUGCUCCAAAAUCCCUAUAUCAACUGAAACAAUGUACAUUUAAUAAGUGAUAUCUGAUGGGCAAAAGUGAUUAGAAGUCAACGCAUAAAAAUCACCCGCAAUAGGUCCUUAUCCAAGCAUCGUUUACUUCUUAAUUUAUUAGGUAUUAUUAAGAAAAACACUGCUCCAGUGAGUCUCCACUUCUGUUUUUUUUCUUUUUUUUUUUUUCUAUUGUAUUGUAUUUUUCUAUUGUGUUGUAUUUUUCUAUUGUAUCUAGUGUAUUGACGAAUACAUUCCCAUAA